CAGGUACAACAGGUGAUAGCUUGAGCCACAAACUCAAGAGGUAAAGUCCGGGCUGCUGUAGGACACGGUUUCAUCUAACGGAUGGCCACGGUAACGUGAGGGAUAGUGCAACAGAGAGUAGACCGCCUCGCAAGAGGUGAGGGUGAAACGGCGGGGUAAGAGCCCACCAGUCUCAUAGGCAACUAUGGGAGCUAUGUAAACCCAACCGCGCAGCAAGAAACAGAUGGUUAGCGUCCUACAUUGCUAUUGUUUCGCUAGAGGCCCUGAGCGAUCAGGGCAGUAGAUUAAUUAUCGCCAUAUCCAGAACCCGGCUUACGUUGUGCCUACUCC
This 330-nucleotide RNase P RNA is filed under the name Sulfuricurvum sp. MLSB. Its description in RNAcentral is "Bacterial RNase P class A". It matches the Rfam family "Bacterial RNase P class A". Rfam says of the family: Ribonuclease P (RNase P) is a ubiquitous endoribonuclease, found in archaea, bacteria and eukarya as well as chloroplasts and mitochondria. Its best characterised activity is the generation of mature 5'-ends of tRNAs by cleaving the 5'-leader elements of precursor-tRNAs. Cellular RNase Ps are ribonucleoproteins. The record is from Rfam by way of RNAcentral. Lineage: Bacteria; Pseudomonadati; Campylobacterota; Epsilonproteobacteria; Campylobacterales; Sulfurimonadaceae.